AGACCCGAAACCCGGUGAUCUAGCCAUGGGCAGGUUGAAGGUUGGGUAACACUAACUGGAGGACCGAACCGACUAAUGUUGAAAAAUUAGCGGAUGACUUGUGGCUGGGGGUGAAAGGCCAAUCAAACCGGGAGAUAGCUGGUUCUCCCCGAAAGCUAUUUAGGUAGCGCCUCGUGAAUUCAUCUCCGGGGGUAGAGCACUGUUUCGGCAAGGGGGUCAUCCCGACUUACCAACCCGAUGC
Molecule: ribosomal RNA, 241 nt
Filed under: Escherichia coli
Lineage: Bacteria; Pseudomonadati; Pseudomonadota; Gammaproteobacteria; Enterobacterales; Enterobacteriaceae
Description: partial 23S ribosomal RNA
Rfam family: Bacterial large subunit ribosomal RNA
Source: RNAcentral